CAUGGAUCUAGCUCAGAAGGCCUUCACCAUUGGAAGGAAGCUAGAGGAUAAGGUGGAAGAAGCACAAGAAUAUGACUCUCGGUGGAGAGAAGACGCUGGAAAUGCUUCAGCAUAUCUAUUCUCUCAAAUAUCCAAAAGUGUGAUACAAAGCUGCCAGGAUGGGUUUUAUAAGUGAACCCCCUUGGCUGUGUGCAUGAAUUCCAUGACCCAUGAAGAGUG
This 219-nucleotide long non-coding RNA is filed under the name Vigna radiata. RNAcentral's name for it is "long non-coding RNA (VRAD_LNC013596)". Lineage: Eukaryota; Viridiplantae; Streptophyta; Magnoliopsida; Fabales; Fabaceae. The record is from RNAcentral.